CUCAAGGCAGUGGCCAGUGCGGCUGGCAGGGCCAAGGCUGGGCUGAGUGAGGGCCAGGCCAGGAGCACCAGCACUUGGGGAGCUCCCAGGGCUGGGGAGAGCGUGCAGAGGGUGCAGAGAACACCUCGGGUGAGGCAGGUGCCACCAUUGGGACCAUGGCUGGAAAGAUCACCAAAAUCCUGCUGGUGCUGGCUGUCCUCCAUUAUGCACUGAGGGCAAGUGCCCAGGCAGCGCAGACCACGGCAGAGGUCCUGACACAGCAAGAGGAACAGCAGGGCCAGAUGAGUUGGCUGGCCAGAGCUGGAAAGAUCACCAAAAUCCUGGUGCUGCUGGGCAUUCUGAAAUACACACUGAGGGUAGAUGUUCCAACAGUGAGGGUGACAGAAGAGGUCCUGAAGCAACAUGAGAAGGAGCGCAUCAUGGAGAUGACCCAGCUGCUGGCGAUGGAACAGAGGAUACAAAAGCAGCGUGGAUUCAGCCCAGGAAGAAUGCUCCUCUUGGCUUGCCAGGAGUGGCAGUUCUGGGUCGGUGCUGAAAUCCUCCUCGUGCUUUUUGGGGUCUACUGGCUGCCCAGGCAGAGCAACUCAGAUUGUGAUGACGACAGCCAGUGGGAAACCACCAGUGCCCAGGAGCAGACAGAGGACAAGGAGGAGGAGGAGAGCUGCGAGGAUAAUCCUGACUCUCAUGACAAGCCAGAGAAGCCCCCAGAUAAGAGCCACUGUGGAGGUUCUUCUGGUGAAACACGCCCCUGGCCGUGGGGAGCAGUGACAGGAAAAUGUGCUGUGCUACCUCCCCUCCUGGCUGAGGAGGCAAACAAGAGUUCAGAUUCCUGCUUCCUGUGCAGCCCCUGGAAAUAGUCCCAGUUGUGAUGCUCCCCCUUCCAGGAAGUGUGGAACCCUUUGUAAAUACAUUCGUAAAAUUUUUCAUUUGUUUUAAU
This is a long non-coding RNA of Parus major (Great Tit), 937 nucleotides long. Ensembl lists it as uncharacterized. Lineage: Eukaryota; Metazoa; Chordata; Aves; Passeriformes; Paridae. The record is from Ensembl.